UACAGAGGGUGCGAGCGUUAAUCGGAAUUACUGGGCGUAAAGCGCACGUAGGCGGCUUUGCAAGUCGGGUGUGAAAUCCCCGGGCUCAACCUGGGAACUGCAUCCGAGACUGCUUUGCUCGAGUAUGGGAGAGGGAAGUGGAAUUUCCGGUGUAGCGGUGAAAUGCGUAGAUAUCGGAAGGAACAUCAGUGGCGAAGGCGACUUCCUGGACCAAUACUGACGCUCAGGUGCGAAAGCGUGGGGAGCAAAC
This 250-nucleotide ribosomal RNA is filed under the name uncultured bacterium. RNAcentral describes it as "partial 16S ribosomal RNA". It matches the Rfam family "Bacterial small subunit ribosomal RNA", at positions 524 to 773 of the family's 1533-position model. The record is from RNAcentral.